Plectropomus leopardus (leopard coralgrouper) is the source of this 388-nucleotide non-coding RNA. The record is from RefSeq and is a predicted model, not a curated record. NCBI's taxonomy places the organism in Eukaryota, Metazoa, Chordata, Actinopteri, Perciformes, Serranidae.
ACCUCACGGUGGGUUUGUCAAAUCUGUGGUUAAUCAGGUGACUGAAUCAGUAAAGAGCGUCACGCUGCUCUGUUUGCGUUCUUGUUUUUGUCUGAUCUGGUCUCUCUGACGCUCCCCUCCUCUCUCUGUCUCUCUGUGGUGGCUGUACAGUCCAGAACUCCGGCGCUCGUCUUUGAAUGCAUCAAUAACACAGACUUCAAGGAGCUGUACCAGAAGUUGACAGAUUAUGAUAUUCGUUUCUAUAUGUAUGAACUACUGAAGGCUCUGGACUACUGUCACAGUAUGGGAAUCAUGCACCGUGACGUCAAACCCCACAAUGUGAUGAUCGACCACCAGUUGAGAAAGGUAGGUGGUGCUUUAUAUAGCCCGAUCCUUUCUAUUUUCCUUC